CGGCCACGUGUUAGUGGGAAACUUGGUUGACCUUCACGCAGCCUCUCGUCCUGAGGGUCAGCCGGACUCACCAGUCUUUUUAUCUGUCGGGGAUGUUCGGUUCGCAGACUGUACAGAAAUCAGCAGACAGAAUGAAUCUGUGAAUAAGGAGGGGCUACCCCACCGAUGAAGCUACUUCUGUCUGGUUUUAAAGGCGUUUCAUGCAGCGGAAAUCUGUUGUUUAAUUUUCUGCACUGGUGGAAGCGUGGGGUGCUUCCCAGGGGAGCCUCCCACCUGCCUCUUCUGCAGGACUCCCCUGGGCACGCAGGCAGUCUCCCCGGCGCUGCCUGUUCCCGAGACUGCAGACAGGAGGGGACCCUGGCAGGGAGACAUCCUGCAGGGCCCCCGUGCACUCACCCACAAAAUGGGGGCCUCCUUGGUAACGUGUUUCUCCGUCCCAUCCGGCCCUAGCAGACCCAGGCGGAAGGUGCUCCAGUCUCUGUCCAGGUCCUCAAGCCUGAUCUCUACCACUACCGCCGGCCCGGAGAGUGCCCUGUCGCUGAAGGGUUCAAAGGACCAACGAGAAACAAGGCAGCCUGUGAGAGGAGAAGGAGCCGAGGAGCCAGCGCUGGCCAAAGGCCCUCCCCAGAAGCCCUCCUCCUUGGAGGUCCCGGCCUGGGAGUCGGACCUGGAGACCUUCAUGCUCCUGUACGUGCUGCCAUGUGGCAGCCAGAACACGCUGUCCCAGGAGGACGCCCGCUCGCGGAGCCCGCAGGCCCAGGCGGGAGUGCCGGCCACCGCCACCUCCGCCGAGGAGCCGGCAGAGGGCCCGGCCGGGCCUGUCCAGCGCCCGUGCUGUCUCCAGGACAGCCAGCUUCCGGAGGCGACCACAGAGGUGGCUACGGCCGGGGCCACCCUGUUCAGCCAGGCUGAGAACCCGCCGGCUGCUCAGGGAGAAACCGAGGUCCCCCUGUGUCCGCGGGGGGGAAGCCGGCGAUCUUGA
Molecule: long non-coding RNA, 982 nt
Filed under: Ailuropoda melanoleuca (giant panda)
Lineage: Eukaryota; Metazoa; Chordata; Mammalia; Carnivora; Ursidae
Description: lncRNA (ENSAMEG00000027406.1)
Source: RNAcentral